UUCCUCUAUUAUCCUUCUCACGUAAGUUUCUUCAGCCAUCUCACUCUCUCUCUUAUUUCCCAUUUUUAUUUCAUCCUCCUUGACACUCAAAAACCCUAAUUGAUAAGCGAUCGAUCACCAAAAUAUCCAAUUAUGAAUCGAGAUUGCAGAUAUGGCGAAGCGAUCAGGUACCGCUAGAAGAAGAGACGACGAAUCGGUACCAACUCGGGCUAUUGACUCGGUGUUUCGGUUCGUUCGAUUCGCUGAGUUUGAGAUCCUCUUCAUUCUCUUCUUCGUCAUCGCCUUCAUCAUCUUCAAAGAUCUGAAGUUGUAUGGCAAACGCUAUAAUGGGUUCGUGGUGUUUGCGGCUGCUGAUUAUUAUUCUACUCUUGGUGUUCCUAAAUCUGCCACCAUUAAAGAUAUUAAAGCCGCUUAUCGCAAAUUGGGUCAUCAGGAGCUGAACAUGAAAGGAGCCAAACAAGAAUGGAGGCCUUUGAUGAACAACUUAGGGUAAGCAGGGCACCUUCGGUGACCCCAUGCGGGGACUCCUUUCAUCGUGCGGGUACACCGCCACCAACAAAGGUUUACCGCACGGUUUGUGUUUGGAGCGGUAAGUGGUCACCGCUUGAGAGAGAGGAGAGAGAGAGGGGGUGAUUGGUUGUUAAUAUGGGUCCACCCUUUUUCCACCAAUCAUAUUUUUUUCUUCUUUUUUAAUAAAAAAAUAAUUAUGUGAGUGGAGUGAUGCCAACGUUUGAGUGCAAAAUGGGGACUUAAGAGGGGAGUUGACGUGGCACGUGAUGAUUGGGUGUGUGUAAGAGAGUGGACUCCCUUAAGAGAGGAGUGCCCCUCUCACCCUUAGAAACUUUAUGUCGGACCCGUGAGCACAUUUAGCUACAGAAACGUCAUGUUUUUGUGGGUAUGGAAGAAUGAGAGGUCUACAUCAAAAAUCUGAAAACUUCUCAUUUCUAAAGAAAAUGAUGUUAAAAAGUAUGUCAAUACAUAUCGAAGAACGAGUACAAACAAAGUUGGUGGUGGCAGUUAACGGGUCUACUGGAGUAGUCAAAAAAUCAUGGACAUCUACCAUAGAAGGAGGUUGCACAUGAGAAUAGACUAAUGUUAAGCUAAUUACUGGUAAGGUAAUAGCUGAAGUGGAAGCAGGAAUAUGGUCUGCAGCAGAAUUUGAACCUCAAAUAUAUAGUCAAAUAUCUUGAUCCUUAAAGACAAAGAACGAUUUUCAUAUAAUCAUUGAGUCUUUGAUAAACUUGAAUUACUUGGCUGCACAGUGAUUACAAGGGGCGUUUUGGUCAUAGUGCAGGUUGUUGUUUUGUUCAUUUUAGGUUCCGUUUUAUCUAUGGAAUGGUGAGUGAUGGGUUAUUUGUUGGUUUACGGAUCAAGUUGUAAAUGGGUUUGGUUCAAUUAAUUUCGGUCAUACUAGAA
Long non-coding RNA from Helianthus annuus (common sunflower), 1416 nucleotides. RefSeq lists it as uncharacterized. The record is from RefSeq and is a predicted model, not a curated record. The transcript has 8 exons. NCBI's taxonomy places the organism in Eukaryota, Viridiplantae, Streptophyta, Magnoliopsida, Asterales, Asteraceae.